AAUUAAUUUUGUUGUUUCCUAUUCUCUAUUAACGUUGUCGUUUUGCAUGUUACAUGUUGUGUAUAUAUAUUUUUCACAAUUCUCACUUUCACACUUUUCACUCACAAACCUACACAAACCCUUUUAUGCUCAAACUCUUCAUCAACUUCCUUCAAAUCAUCAUCAACAUUUAACAACAUCUUCAUCUUCUCCAAAUGGAUUCUCAACAACAACAGGUCUAUAACUACUCUCAACAAAUGGAAGCAAAUGAACAUCUUGCUAAAGCUUAACAACAAACCUCUACUGAAAAUGCUACAACAUCAACCGCUAUUUACAAGAAACCCCACAUCCUUGAUCGUCCACCUCACAUCAACCUUGCAACCCCAUUUGAGAAACUGGAAGUUCUCUGUGAGUCUCUGGUGGAUUUUGAAAAUAUGAAGCGCAAUGGAAUUGAUCUUACUGAAGAUAUGAAUAAGCAAGGCUGGGGAAAUUAUUUUCAAAGGCUCUAUGGUCCCAUCUACACCUUCCUCGUCAAAGUGUUAUGGAGAUUCGCAGACUGUGAUGACCAUUUCAUAGUCUCUUAUGUCCUUGGAUUUAAGAUGGUUAUCACUGAGAAGUCAAUUGCAAAACUUCUAGAUAUGGAGAAAAUGGGGGCAGAAGAAUUUAUAACAUAAACCCUAGGGAAAGAUACAUGUCCCAGGAGAUUGUACCAACCAUCUUCAAACAGAACUCUAAAGGGAAAUCAUCCAAGAACAAGGAACUUCACCAGAAUCUAAGGGUCUGGUUAAAGAUCAUUCUGGGUACCAUCUACCACCGUCUAGCCUCAAACUCUUCUGACUACAUCAAGACAAAUCAAAAGUGUAUAUUAUAUUUCCUCCACAAAGGACUCAAGCUGAAUCUGCCAGUGCUACUAUUCAAGUAUCUGAGGGACUCAGUCAAGGAUACAAGAAGCCACAUGAAGACCAGAAACUACAUUCCUCUGGGGAGUCUCAUCUCUGAUGUUCUGAUUGAAAUCGGGAUGGUGGACCAUCUGAUAUCCUACAACCUGAUGGAAGAUGUGACUGUAGAUGUUGGAAAGCCUCUGAAUGCCAUAAAUCUGAUGAGCAUGAGGGUCAUCGGAAGAGUCUUGGUCAAGCCAACUUUGGAAACUUCCUAGGAAGAUCUGAUGGAUCAAAGAAAGAUACCCAAUGAUCUCUAUCUGUUCUCCAAGAUAGAUCCUCUAGAGGUCAUUGCCCAUUACCUCUAGGACCUGACAUCUCAAGGGGUGGAUAUCUCAGAGUUCUCAGUGGACUGGCUUCUAGAGCAGCCACCUAACUUUAUGAAAAAGAAGAGAGAUCCUUUUAAGAGGUCCAAGAAGUCAAAGACUCUGAAGCUGGGAGAACCGUCUGCAACCAGAUCGCAUGCGCCUCUAAACUCCUCUGUCUCAAGUAAGUCUCACCCCUCUGAAACUCCUUAUUAUUCUAAUUUAAAGCAACUAUAUUUCUCUCUACCUCACCCAUCUUCCAUCUAUACCCUCUUUGAACCUACCAUAUCUAUUCCACCUACCACUAAACAUCACAACUCUAACCCUUCCUCACCCCCUCCACGAUAAAUCAACCUCACUACCACAACACUUCCCACAUCUGAAACUUCACCUCUGAAUGAAUCCCUCCCACCUCUCUCCUCAACUCACUCUUCAUCACCAUAUUGCGACAUAUCCUCUGACUCUGAACAGCCAGAAAUCUUUGACCCUUCAUCCCCAACAUUGGCCCAACUACAAGCCAUAACACUAUAUAACCAACCUCCAUUUAUCCCAGAUACCUAUGUGCCUUCUUCUUCUGAACCUCAAACAAAACCACCUUCUAAACAACCAUCUGAACCCCCAACUGAAUAAUCCUCUGAAGCUCCCACCCAAACCACCCACAUUUCACCAGAACCCAUCAAUCCAUCUUCUGGACCUGAACCAACCUUCCCCACCCUAAAAGAGUCCGUUGAUUGAUUUUCAUAAUCCUCAGCUGUAAAGCUCAGAUCACUGUCUGAAUAGUUCAAACUAAGUGAUAAUCCCUCUAAAGUGAGAAAUCACUGGAAUGGAUUUCUCAUAUGGAUGACAUCUGAGGUCUUCAAGCUGAAAGGCCUCCAUGAACAAGUCAAAAAUGACUACAUUAGAGAAGCUAAGGAGAGGCUAGAGGUUUGUCUGACCAGAGAAGCCGAAGAGAAAUCACACCAGGAAGCUAAAGAAAUCGCAAGACGGAAAGCUGAAGAGUAAGCAACAAAAGAAGCCGAAGAAAAGGCUGUCGCUGAGGCUUCUGUUGCUGAAGCCAAGGCUGACGUUGAAGAAGCAGCACACAUUAUUGCAAAAGAAGCCGCAAAGGCAAAGGAAGUUGCUCUGACUCAGGGUGAGACCUCUAACUCUGAUCUUGCUCCGGAGGUGCUCAAGACUCUGGAAGAAAUCCAGAAGGAACAACAUCUUGUGAGAGCCAUACUAGAUCAACAGGACUCUGUCAACUCCAGUAUUCAGACUCUCCUGACUUAGUUGCUUCAUAGGAUGCCGCCUCCUCCAAACCCUUAGAAACCUUAGGCUUUAUGCUUUGUGUUUUUGUUCCUCUAAGUGUUUUAGCUUCUAUGUUUUUCCUUCUAUGUACCUCUUUCACUUUAUCCAAUGAAAUUUUGUUUUAUAUGUUUCUUGGUUAUGUCUUUUUGACUCUGACAAAAAGGGGGAAAAGUAAUGAAAAAACCUUCUGAUGAAAUUAAUAUCUAAGCCUCAUAAUGCACUCCUUACAUUCUGAAAUUUUAAAUAUAUUGUGCAGUCUAAGUUCUUGUAGGAAGUAUUUGAGUAAAACAUCUGAGAAACAAGCUAAGCAACAUAAGAGGCUCUGGUAAGAAACUCUAAACCUUCUAAAGUAUCAAAUUUAGGGGGAGCUUGCUUAUCUCAGGGGGAGUCUUAGUAUAUCUGACUCUAAAAUUAUUUUCCUUUAAUUAUUAUGAAGUAUAAUUGUUUCAUCAACAGGCUGAAGUUUUGUCAUCAUUAAAAAGGGGGAGAUUGUUAGAACAAGAUUUUGGUUCUGCAAUUUAUCUCUAAGUUUUGAUGAUAACAAAGGAUGAAACACUUUGGUACCCUAAUAAAAUCAUCUAAGUGUGCAAGACUCUAAUGAAAAAUGAACCUGAUGAAACAACAUCUAACAUCACAAUAAUCAAGAACAACAGACUUAGAGUCAAAGGUAUUCGCUCUAACACUAAAGACAAUGAUGUCCACAUCAUUUGACAUCCGAAGACUCUAAAACUCUGCAUCUAAGGGAUCCCACACAUGAAUACUCUGAUGAUCCUUACAUCUGAAGAAUGUCUAAUUAGAGAUUAUUCAAGAACUUUUGAAGAAAACACAUCAGGCAACUAUCUGAAGAAUACAAGAUCUAAGAGAAGUAUCUGAAUUCCGUGCAUUCUGAUUGACGUCCAACAGAUCAGAUCAAGACUUAACAACAAAGUAUUCCAAAUAUGGUAUGAAUCUCUAUAUGGAGAAAAUUGAAUACUCUCCUAAACUUCUAUGGAAAGGACAAUAAAAUUAAUGUCAUUUAAGUCCCAUCAUUGGCAAGAUAUCAGCAUCAAUGCUUCAUUCAACGGUAUCAUCUCCAAGCACUAUAAUAAGGCCCAACUAUCAUCAUACCAAAUAUACGAAGAUAUAACACAAGAAUUCCGCACAUCAAAAUUAAGUCAUACACAAAAUUCUUGUCUUAUGUUAUCACACUAGUUGUUGCUCUAAGUGUGAUCUUGAUCUUUGUUCUUACUGUGUUCAUAUUGCUUAUCUAGAAGCACUAAACACCUUCUUGUAAUUCUAAAAUAGUUGUUAUAAAUUUCCUCAAGUGAUUUGUGAAGUCUGUAGACUUGAGAGGAGUAAGAGAUCAGUGUACUCUUAGAUGUUUGUUGUAAUCUUUCUUGAUUAUUGGAUUAAGUCUUUAUUGAAGGCGAAAUUACCUUGGCCAGGUAGACUGAAGUAACUUUGAAUUUCAAGAGAACCAGGAUAAACUUUUGCGUUGUUUGUUUUGAUUUUUGUGUGUGUGGCGUUUCCAAAAGUUUUUAUUGUCACUGAAAACAAUUCAAACCCCCCUUUUUUGUUUUUCUCUAUCUUCAAACUCCUAAUUAUGAAGGCCCAUUAUAUUGUCAAGAGAGCCUUCGCGGUGCAUUGAUUCUUACAACUAUGGAUGGUGAGGAGUUCACGCGUCAUGUGAAUGCCGAUGCAGUCAAGAAAUUCUUUGCCUAAAAAAGGAAAAGAAUAGCUCUCUAAGUUGAAAACCCAAAAGGGCCGCUUAGGCAAAAAUGAGCAUCUCGGUGGAUUGAAAACAUGAAAGGGCGAACCAGGAAAAAGUUAGAGACAUAAAACAGAAAAUUUAUCCCGGUAUAAUGAGUACCCCACCUUGGGGAAAUCUAGAAAAAAAUUAGGGAUCUUGGCAAGUAACUGCAUCCAGCUGGUCCAAAUCAUUAAAGUAGUCUUGAGUAGUCAUUUGGUUCUGAUUCAUCAUUCUCAACCGAAGACAAGCCCAGUGGAUUUUGAAGUUGGUAGGGAGAGUAGUGAUCAUUGUAUUCAAUGUAGUCCUUUUUCCAUUUAAAUUACCAUUUUUCAAACUUUGUAAAGAUCUAUAGAGUCCCGCCAUUUGCGGACUACCAUUCUAUUAAAUAAAGUUGAGCUUUUAUCUAAUUAUUUGAUAUUCUUAGUUAUUUAUAUUUUAAAAUUGAAUUUUUAUGACGAUAAUUUUGAAAUAAAUCAAUGAAUAAUUAUUUUUCUUAAGAUAAUAAAAACUUUCACUUCAAGAAUAAUCGAUUUCGGUAAGGAAGGUCAACAACAAUCUAAGAACAAGUAAGUCUUGAAGUGUGAAACAUUGUUGUCUUCCCCAAGCAGUUGGUUUGAUGACUUUUUCCUCCCCAACAGUUUGUUGUUCAUUCCCAGCAUGGUUAAUAAGUUGCUCCCCAAGCAACCUAUUAUCCCCGGUUGAGCUGAUGAUUGGUCCCCUUUGAAGUUUAUCUUCACCGACUGAAGUAUCCAUGUGUUGCAUUCCCCAGUUUGUGACUUAAUGAUUGAACCCUAGAUAUCUUGGAACCUUUAUUUGGUCUCCAGACUCCCAAUUGCAUUUGUUUGUAUUGCAUAAUCGCGGUAGUUUCUCCCUUGUGUGAGUCAGAUUCGAUUAUCUUUGCCUUGGAAUUGGUUUAUUUCGCAAUCUCCCAGAAGAAUCUGAUGAUUAUUGAGAGUCUGGUGGUCUUUGAUUUGUCCCAGCAGGUCACGAGAUCGCUAGCAAUUUGCACGAUUCCCCAUUCAGAGUUUUACCUCUUGAAUCCCUGGAGGAGUUUUGUCGUCUGAUAAAAGUUCCUUCAUUCCUGACAGUGUUUGGUUCUGAGCAUUAUUAAUUAAGUCCCCUGCAAGGUUGUCUCCCAUUUGAUAUGGUGUUGACUUAAAAUUCCCCGUAGCGUUGACUCGUUUUAGGAUCCUCAGUAGAUCAAUCUUUAUCCUUCAGCAGUGUUGUCUUUCCCCACGAAUUUUACCGUGAGUUGGUUGGAAACAUGUUCUCCGUGUCUUUCCACAGCCAGAGAUUGAUUUAUUCGGAGCUAGAUGAUUUAUGUUCAUCCCUAGAAGAAUCUCCAGUGGUUGUUUCCAUUCUGUUGAGAUUAGCCGUUUGUUUUGUAGUGAUGAUUCAAAUCUUCGUUAUUUGUAUCCUUUAGGCUGUUUUGUCAGCAUAAUCAUAAUCAUGCAUGUAUAUUCAUGCAUAAAUCACAACAUCAUAUAUUUCAUUAUGCAUUUUAUCGCAUUGAUUUUUUUCUGAUCGCCUGCUUUGGUGAUAUUAUUUCCCCAUACAGAUUUGGUGUGUCUUUCCUCCUUCAAUUAAAGAGUGUCAGCCCCUUAAGUAGAAAGAGUUUAUCCUUUCUCAUUCCCCACUGAGUUAUUUCCUUGUGGAUGAUCAUUAUUUCAGCUUCCUCCUCAGAGUAUCAUCUGGAUUGAACCAUUCCCCUUAAGUUACAUCAUCAUUGGGUUGAGUCUUGUUUGACUGUUUCUUUCUAGCUCUUACCUAGAUAGAUCUUUUGGUCCCCGAGAGUUUAUUACUCAGUAACUGGUAAUAUUCUUCUUGAUGAUUGAGUACUUUACCUUCACCCAUUAACCGGUAAAAGGUAAUUUACCCCUUUGUUUUCCCCAGCGGAUUCAUUUUCACGUUUCCUCGGCAAGUCUAUCCUUGAUAUCUUCACCCUAACCGAUGACGGAUAUUCUUCCUGUUUGGUAUUCUACCCAGUAAAAAGGUAGUUGUAAUCCCUAUAUUAUUCUCUAGAGAGUCUAUCCUUGAUAUGUUCACUUUAACCGAUGAUAGAUUUUCUCUUCUUUGCAGUAUUCAACCCAGUAACUGGUAGAUAUAAAAUCCUAUUUCCCCCUCUGAGUCUAUCCUUGCUAUGUUCACUUUAGUCAGUGACAGAUACUCACUCUUUGGUAUUCUACCCAAUAAUCGGUAGUCGUAAUUCAUAUUUUUCCCCGGAAGUCUAUCCUUGAUAUGUUUACCCUAACCGGUAACGAAUAUUCUUCUUCAUUCCCUAGGUGGUCUAUCCUUGAUAUGUUCAUCCUAACCGAUAACAGAUAUUCUUCCUUUGAGUUUAUCCUUGAUAUUUUCAAUUUAAUAAGUGACACAUACUCUCUCUUUGGUCUUUGGCUCAAUUGCAGGUAGUUGUAAAUUCUAUUUGAUUUCCUUUCCCUAGUAGGUCAUUCUUACCUAGUAACCGGUAAUGAAUGCGCCUUAUUUUCCUCAGUGAGUCAUCCUUGAUAUGUUUACCCUAACCGGUACCGGAUGUUCCUCUGUCAGAGUCUAUUAUCUUCUUACCCAGUAACCGGUGGUAGAUAAUAUGUCUCUUUUACUCCUGUGCUGAAGUUUUUCUUCCCCAAUUGAGUUUGAGUUCAUAUUUCUUUAUGAAAACAAAUUUCCUUUUGGCUUGAGUAUUUCAGUUUUGUUCUGAUUGACUCUCGUCCCCUGUAGAUUCCUUUAUCCCCAGUCCGAGUUUUUCCAUUGAUUUAUUUUCAUGGAAAUCCCCUCGUGUCUCCCAUCAAUUUUUCAAGUCAUAGCCUGGCCUAUGCAUAACUUUUAUCCCCCAGAGUCUCUGUCUCCCUAGUGAGUUUUCCUUACGGAAUGCAUUGUGCUCCUGUGGACUUUUAGUCUCUCUGGAUUCUUUUCCUUUUGGCAAUAUAUUCCUUACAAAGAUUAUUUUAACAUUCAUAUCAUAUGCAUCAUGAGGUCUCUUAGGGACCAAUUUUUUUUCUUGAUGUUGUUAUUUAAAUCCAUUAUACUAAGUUGAUAUGAAGAUUUUAACCUUCACUUCCUCAGCUAGAAUGUCCUUAAAUAGCGGCAGUUGUAAGACCCCAAUUUUGACCAUAAGAUCCCUCAUGCUAUCUCAUCAUUUGCAUUGGCUUUGGGAUCACACCUUGGCAUCCUCGUAACCCCUCAUUAAUUGGGUUUGCAUUGGGAGAGAUCACCAAGCAUAUUUGAUUGUAUGAUACUUUAUUUUAUUUUGUUUACUAACCAAAACACCAAAAAUAUGUCAAUGUAUAGCUUUGUUUCUUUUGUAGGUAGUGUGUGUGCAUCCAUUUAUGCCAUAUCAAGCUUACAAGUAGGGUUUGAGACCCUCAUAGCAAGAGAUAAAUCAGGGAAUGGUUCACCAUUGGUUCUAAACAUCAUAUAUGGAUCUCCGUGUUCUUCAUUUAUCAUUUUGAUCAAGAAUUCAUCAAGAGUUUGAAGUUUCUUUGCCUUGGGAGCCCUAACUCAUUUGGGUAUUUUGUUUGACUUCCUCAGCAAGUUUCUUCAACAAUUGGUCAAAUAUAUAAAGGGAUACUUCAUUAUAUGUAAUAUUAUGCAUAUAUGAUCCUCCAUUAUCUUUAAAGAUCAAGAGAACUUCAAUAUUGCAAGUUGGUUCAAAGAGGUUGACCAGAGAAAGUCAACUAGUCAAAACUAGGGUUCCCUAGACCCUAUCUCCUACAAUUUUUGUCAUAUGAAAAUGAUUACAAGAGAAACUUUACUCUUUAUGAAAUUCAAAACAACUUUCAUGUUGGCAUCAAUAGCUAGUUUUGCUUGGAAAGUCAUUUUUUUAUGGUGAAACAUUAUAGGUCAUUUUGUAUGUGCCCUAGUUAGGAGGUCAACUUCCAAGGACCAUAAAUUGCUCAAUUUUUAUGAUAUGAAGUCCAUACAAGUUUCAUGAUCAAUUUCAAGGUGUCUUAUAAAACUUUUAUUAUUUGAGAAAUGUCAAAUUCAACUUUAAAGGGUAUGUGCCAAGAGGAAACAUUAUAGGUCAUUUUGGGCCAUCACCAUUAAACAAGCAAUUUUCCUCAAAUUCUAAAAUACAUAACUCCCUCAUGAAAAAUCCAAAUGAUGUUAAAUUAUUGACCAGAUUGAAGAGGAAUCAAAGAUCUAUAACUUUUAUGAAGAAGCCAUUUCCAUUUGAAGCUCAUAGCAAAAGUUAUUCAAGGUGGAAGAAGUGAUCAUUUGACUUUGUACUUAGAAAAGUUUCAACUAUGUUUGAUUUCUCCCACUUCCACCUCAAAAUGCAUCAUGAUCCAAGCUCCAAAUGAAAAUGUGUUCAACAUAAAAGUUGUUUCCCUUGAUGUCACCUUUCCAAAAAGUCCAUUAUCACUUCAUUUGGACAAGAAUUGAGGGACUUGCGAAUGGUUCCUUUGGUGGGCAUGUUUUGGCAACAUUUGAACUCAAAUGGUUAUUUCCUUUUGCAUGCUUCCAUGUGAUGACUUCAAUAUCCAUUAUGCACGAAUUGGAGUUGGAUUACAUCAUGAUUUGGGCCUAAUUCAAUGCCCAUACACCCAUGCACCAAUGUUUCUAUUUUUGGCCAAAAUUGAAAAGGUGCAAAACUGAAUUCCAUAGCCUAUAAAUACAACUAAUUGCUUCAAGAUCAACACACACACACUGCCCAAGCCUUGCCAAGCUAUCUUAGAACCCCACUCCAUAGAAUUGCUUGAAGGUUUCUUUGAAAUUGAGUUUGAACUUCACCUUCUGUUUUGAGAUUCAAACUCCAAGGAUUCAUUCCCAUUUUCAUCUCAAUUGGUCACUGCAAGCAAGAGGAGGAAGAAUCAAGUGAAUUCAGAUCAAGAUCAAGCCAAAUCACUGCUACCCGAAGGUGAAUUUUCUCAAACUUUUCUUCUUCGAUUUCCCUUAUCUCUCAACUAUUUUGAUUGAUUAUCGGUUGUCUUAAGACCUACCAAUGUAGGAAACAAGAUUGAGUUGCUUUGAGGCCAAAUCGAAGCAACUCAGAUCGUGCACCUCAAAAUUCAAUUCCUCAUAUCUCUCAAUAUAUUUGGAAUUGGACAAAAUUGAGGCCAGAUUCGAGCUCCUGAGCAUUUUUCCUUUGAAUUAGUGUACUCACUUUUUAUUUUAGUGAAGGUUGGUGGUGGACCAGUCUGGUGAGGUCCACCAGAGAAGGAGGCCGGAGCUAGGGCUCCGGUUGUGCGUUGGCGCCUUCCCAACCUUCUUACCUGAUUCAAAUGUUUGAAUCAUGGCCCUUGGUUUUAACUACCACGCGUGUGGCGCAUUGACUUGGUUCCACCAUGUUCCCUAUGCGCGUGGCCAUCAGAUCUGCCACCUCAAUUAAUUAGGGAGAUCCGAUGGCCCUUGUUUUUUUUUAAUUUCUGAUUUUUCAUUUAAUCCCUUUAUUUUGUUAGUUCAUAUUAAUUUAAUUUUUAAUCCAAAAAAUAUGGGACUUUCACCAAAAAUGUUUAAAUAUUUUUCUUUCAUAUUUUAAAUUAAAAUUAUUUUUUGGAUUAACUUUUAUAUUUUUCAUGAAUUAAAUGUUUUUUUUAAUUUUUUUAAUUGUUUUAAAAUACUAAUGACUUUCCAAAAAUAUUGAAAUUUUUUGUCUAAGGUCAUUUGACCUUGUUUGACCUAGGAUAAAUCCCUUGGCCAUUUGUUUGGUGUUUUGAAGGGAUUUGAGGUUUUGUCCUUUUUAAAAUGCAUUUUAAUUCACUUUUAAUUAUUUUUAAUUGAUUAAAUGUUUAAAAAUUAUGUUGAGCCAUUUUUAUGGUCUUGUGAUGUUUGACUUUCUGUUUGGAUCUUGGUCAUGGUUGAUUUAACUUUUGUUUGAUCAAUACCAUUGGAUUUAGGGGAUUGUUGAAAUGUACAUUUCAUCUCCCAAAAUGAAUGGAUAGUAUUGAUCAGAUGAAAUUCCUAUCAUGAUCAAUUUGUGUUUCUAUUUCCCCUUCCCUCUUCAUCUUCAUCCCUAUUCUUUCCCAAUCCCUCAUUGACCAAUGAAAUCUCUUCAUGUUUAAUGCUAGUUGAUUCAUCAACGACCUUGUGUCAAAUGAAUCAACAUGAGCCAGAAUGAGAUAGGUCCUCCCCCCAUUUCUUUUAAGUGUUUAGUAUGUUUUAGGAGUCUGGUUCCUUAUACCAAAUCUCUAACAUGCAUUAACACCUAUAUUUUUAUUGCCCGACCAUAAUGUAGCGGUAAAUUCAUGACCACUAAGUUAUGGAUAAGCUUAACAUCAAUAAAACCAGAGUCGCCACUGUGCUUUUAUUGUUUCCAAAGGAAAAAGGAAAGGUAGGAACAAUACCCAAAGAUAAGAAGUUUUCAAAUCAAAACUAAUAAAAUGCCAGAGACUACAGGUAAGGGGGUUGGUUACACAGAGGGAAGGUGUUAGCCCCCAAAGUGUCCUAGGUACUCCUAGGGAGCCUUUUUUUAUGUGUGCAUGUGUUUUUGGUAUAAAUGAUGUUUGAAAAAAAAAUAGAGUGUGGGGAUGAGAAAAGAAUUCAUUGAUUAUAUUUUUGUGUUUGACAAGACCUUCGGACUUGUGCCUACGUACCAACAUAAAAAUGAGGGAUCAAAACCUCGUAGUUCGUGGUAACAAAUGAGAAAAGAAUUCAUUGAUUAUAUUUUUGUGUUUGACAAGACCUUCGGACUUGUGCCUACGUACCAACAUAAAAAUGAGGGAUCAAAACCUCGUAGUUCGUGGUAACAAUUUCAAAGUUGGUGAACUGCUUUUAACAAAAUUUUAAAUGAAAAGGCACCAAGGGGCCAAAAAAAUUGAAUGGGUUUGUUAGUUCUUUUUAUCUUUUUUUGAAAUUUUAAGUAAAUAUGAUUAAGUUUAUUUACAAUUUUGACUUAAGAAAGAGUUUGAAAAUUCAAUGGCAUAAGGCCAAAGUUUCUAAUCAUUUAAACAAAGUCUAAGUUUGAAAUCACAAGCAAAGAAAGUUUUUGACAAGGGGGAGAGAUUUUGAAAUUUAAGAAGUGGGAGGAGAUGAAGAGGCUAUCCUAAGCGUAAAAUUAAAAGUUAAUAGUUGAAAAGAUUUGACCAAUGGGAUGCAAUCUAACAGACAAGAAUGUCAUAUAGAAACUCGUUUUCCCUUGGACUUUGAAUCAAGCAAUAAUCAAUAAGCAAUUAGCAAUAUCAGACAUCAUGAAGAUCAAGACAUCAAAUAAAGAUAGCCAUAUCUAAGCAAGCAACUCCUUAGCUAGCAGUCUUCUUUAUCUUCUCAUGUAUCAGAUGGGAUAUUCCUUGAUCAACUUAGAAGAAAGCAUCAGACAUAAGAUCAAAAUAACAAUUAGCACCAAGACAAAGCAACAUAUGAAUUCAAACAGAGUCCCAAGGCUUGCAUCAGAUGAAAGCUUAGUUCACAAUAACUUGAUUUCAAAAUGUUGGCAUUGGCCAAGUCCUUUUUGCACAGGGAAUGUUGCCUAAUCCUAAGUCCAAAGGUUCAGAUUAAGAUCAACAGUCCACCAAACAUUUUUUUAGGGUUUUUUGUUGUUUAUUAUGUAUUUUAAGGUCCUAAGACCAUAAACAAAAUCAAAAUGCACAAACAAAUAUAUACAAUCACAAGAUAUGGCUCAAAUGAGCAAAGUGAAAAUGACAUAAACAUAAACAAGUUAAAUGAAAUGUAAAUGACAAUGAAUGAUAAAUGACUGAAAAUUAAAUUGCAUAAAGUAAAUGACUUGAAAGUAAAGCGAUAUUAAUAAGAAUUAGUCAUAUGUUAGUCAACUGUUAGUGGUAUUUUUGUUUUUUAAUGGAUUAAGUCAUUAUUUGGAGAACACUCAACCAUCCAUUCACAAGCACGGGUCCUUAAACCAAGACAUCUUCGAUGGUGUCGUACCCCAAUUUUGUCCGAGCAUAUUUAAAUUUUUUCAUACAAUCGAUCUCAUUUUUUUUCAUCACAUACAUACCAUUACAUACAUUUGCAUCAUGAAUAAAUGCCUAAAAUGUCAGUCGAAAUGAAUUUAUUGGAGAAUACAGACAAAAUCAGUUGAAUCGUUAAAAUUUGAGGAAAACAGUGUAUUUUUCAAAUAAUAUGUUUUGUGCUGAUACCUCAUUACAAGAAUCUCCCCUACCUUGCUAAAGGAUGGGUCAUUGUGUGCUGAAGGAGAUAACACCUGCAUACUCUAACAAUAUGCCUCACAGGCUACGACGCCAAUGCUCCUGUGAGUAUCACAUGGGUGCCCCAAGGCAUACAAUAAAGAAUUGUAAGGCUUUCAAAGCACAAGGUUCAAAGAUUUGAUUGACAGUAUAGAUUAUUCACGCCGCGUCGACGGCCAAAACGUUGCAACAAACCACCAUGCCGGCGCAUGCACGAGUCGAAGUGAACCUCGAAAGAUAAAAGCUCCCACGGCCUGAACAAACAAAGCAAAGUUCCGCCGAAGAAUCCAAAGAUGAAGGCAUGUUCAUUUGAAUGAAGGCAUCAUUAUGCCCUUCUUUAACCAAUUUCACAUUCUUUGUAAUUUUGAUCUUGUUUGUUUAAGUAAUUUGUUAUGCUUUGAACAAUUGUUGUUUUAAUUUGGUCUUAUUAAUGGGAUAAUUAUAAUGCAUGCCGUUUGAAUCAAUCUUUCCAUAUUCAGCUCAAUUAUACAUUUGCUAUGCACAAAACACAUACUUUUUCACCUCACAUUCUUCAAUCACACAUGUUAGUAAAUGUUUGGAAGGAGGAUGACAAAACAAAAAUCUCAUAAUUAACUGAUCGUAUCUUUCGGAUAAAAUCCUACUAAUGAUGUAUAGACAUUGUUUCAAAUCCCCAAACACUGGAGAGAUAGAGGAGUUAAUCCCUAGUCAACACUCGAGCCUAGAAGUAGGAGUAUUUCUUUCGGAUCUAAAAAAAACCCUUACGUUAACCUGGGCAGGGUAGUGUUCAGUUAAUUUGACUACACAUUUAAAAUUUACAAGAAUAAAUAUCCAUACAAAGGAUCAACCAUAUGACAUUGCUUCCACACACAUCUUGAGUGUCGAGGAACCAUCUACAAAUCAAAUUUAUGUCGGUUGUUUCUGUAAUAUGACCAAUGACUGUGGCAGUCUCAAAUUUCAAAAAAAAGGUCAGAGAUAGAGCCCGCUAAGUCCAACAGCCGCGCCUUAAAAGGGGACCUUAGGAAAAAACAGGGGCAAUCCCGAUGGAUUAAAAGCUGGCAGACAAAGCGUCCCAUGCAAAAAGUUAGUGGAUCAAAACAAACCAAAAAUCAAGAGACUAAUGAAAGUCUCCCAACAAAAAAAACAAGAUCAGUGACCACGCAUAACCGAAAAUCCAAGACAGGGUCACCGGACAUCAAAAAAACGAAAUAAGUGCUCGCCAUCCAAGAAACCUUGAAUCACAUCUAUUAUCCUUACACCUGCCAAAGAACGAAUGAGUGGUUGAAUUAACUGAACAUGGCAUUGGAGAUCAUCAUGAAAGAAAAGGGUGGGUUAAAAUACUUGAGCCUUAUAUCCUUUUUGUUUCAAUAACCAUGACCAGCCACUUACCAACCUUCAAAAGACCUAAUUGAAGUAGGGUUCUGUUCUGAAAGCAUACUUAUAAGCACAGGUUGAAGUAAACUGACUCCUAAGAGAUUUGCUAAUAUUCCUCUUCUCACUAAUAUCACUCACACACUAGCUAAAUCCAAGCACGCUCGUUUGGACACAUGGUCCACCGUCACACAUUCACCACACACACUCCAAAUGAGCACGUGCGUAAUUGUUUUUUUACUAUAGCUUGCAUAACUAUUGCCAUUAAAAAUCAACCAUUUCUGGAAUAACAAUUCUUAAUUGUCAGUCCAGUACUUUGAAUCAAGAAAAUUCCAAGAAGGGCCAUUCAAGAGGCCACUUGAUCGUUGGUGCUGAACACAAUCAGAGCACCGCUGUGAAAUCAGGGGCAUGUCAUCUUUUGAUCAUGUUGACACUAAGAAGUAGCCAGUAUAAGACAAAUCUCCAAGCAUCGUUGAUCAGGGAGGAAAGACACUUAAAAUACCUCCAGGCAGUCCGGGGCAGGUUCCCUCAAAGGCUAAUCAGGGCAGGAACCCCCAAGCCCAGAUUUGUUUUUGAACCAAUCAGAAAAAACCCAAAAACUCAGACGCACGUCAUGGAUAAUCACUGCCCUAAAAGUUUCCUGUCAAGGGGAAAAAAGGGCAAAUUCCUUAUUGAACACGCCUACAGUCAGGGCAAGACGAUUUGCAAGGGGCAGAUUUCCUUCAUAUCUUCAAGUCAGUCCAAGCAGAUUGCAUCAGACACUAGUGACUGCUUGAAUUUCACAAGUAGUCGAAAGUUCAUAUCGCAUAACAAUAUCAUAAUCCUUCAUGACAGAAUACCAUUAGGGCACUGUCGGCUGGCACGAUCAUCAUGCGUUGAUCACGUCGCUAUGCUCAGUUACAGGCUGGCCAGACAAUCUCAAAGGAAGAGAUCGAUGUCUCUCGAAGACAAAUCACACAUGUAUCAGCAAGAGUCAAACUGGAUGGGGCCACCCAGAGUAUCCGCAUCUACUGCGUGUUCAUCAUAUCAUCAAACUACGAGGUGUCGGGAAGAUCAGAAUCUUCCACUAACCGCGAUGGUCCAAAUCUACAUUGACAAUUACCAGAAAGACCAAAGCCCCACCUCGCUGGCAUCCACAAUAAAACGCAAAUAGAACCAGCAUUGGUUUCACAAAUACAUUGCCUUUUGAAAAGGGGGCCAAUCCAAAACAAACCAAUACAUCUUUGCAUUGCAAACCAUGCAUCAACCAUGCACAUAUGCGAUCACUCAUUACAUAAUGCAUACAUGAAUAUUUAUCCAAUGACAAAAUAUCAAAAAUCCAAGUUUUAGGUCGUUAGGAUCCAAGGCCAGCCCCUCAGUUGAGUCAUUGUUUUCUGAGUGAGUUUCCUAACCCUGCCUAUCGGGCGCGUUCCCAGUGGACGUUUACAUCUUUAACUUUUGUUGAAUAAAGAUGUUAUCUCUCAGCUAAGUCAAACAAUGUUUUCCAACACUUUACCGUGUUUCGCGUUGAGCGUCCCUCAUUGAGUCCCGUUUUCAUGUACCUUUUGUUGAUGGGGAAACUAGCACCUCCCUAGAGGAGUAUUAUUGUUCUGCAACCUUUAUGUUGGUGGACUACCCGAAGCAAAGUCCUUACGUCAGUAUGUUUCCAACACUACUCAGCAAAUCAGGUUAGUAUGAACUUUGACCAGUAGCCUAUUUUUCCAAUAUUCUUUUCUCCAACUAUCCAUCCUUUUGGUGAAAGUCCGUUGAAGAAUAAAUUGAUCAUCGUCUGUUUAUGAUCACACCGUUAUCCUUUUGGUAAUGGUACAUCCUUGCAUUUGUGAACUUACUGCUCAUCCUUUUGGUGUCGACGAUCCCUUGAAAGUUUUGGGCCCUACCUUCAAUCUUUGGUGAGAUGGCGACCUCUGCAAUAUUACAGUCUACCGUCAUCCCUUUUGGUGUCGGCGAUCCUUAUGGGAUAGGCCGCUUGGUCAUUUUGGUUCAAUCAUCAUCCUUUUGGGAUGACGUCCAGUUUAAUCCAAUAUCAAUCUUUUGUGGAUAGAGAAUGAUGGAGUUCAGUUUAAGCUAUCAAUCCUUUUGGUGAUGGUGACCAUUUGGAAAAGUGCCAACCCGCACUGUCAUCCUUUUGGUGUCAGUAAUAUUUGAAGUUCAUUAUAACUUAUUAUCACCUUUUGGUGGUAACCAAGUUUCAAAGUUUAUGAUCUCACCUCAUCCUUUUUGGUGAUGGUGAGGUUGUGGAUUCCAUUAUCAUACCUUUUGUGAUAACGGUUCUGUGUUGUGUAGUACCGUUCAUCCAUUUUGUGAGGUGACUAUUGAUCUUAUUAUCAUCCUUGUUGGUGAUGAAACAAGUUGUUGUUGGAUGGUCCUUACCUCAUCCUUUUCGGUUGACGGUGACCAUUUGAGUUAUGGGGCUCAUUAUCAUCCUUUUGGUGAUAACAGUUUGUUUUUGAUCUACCCUCAAUCCUUUGGUGAUGGCGAUCACUGAGUCUGUUUCAGGUUAUCAUCAUCCUUUUUGUGAAACAAGUAUUGAAGAUCCUGUCUUUAUCAUCCUUUUGGUGAUAAACAAGUUCGGCUUUGGUUUGAUCUUACUGUCACACUUUUGGUGUCAGUGAUAUUUACGGUUGUUGACUUAUUAUCAUUAUCCUUAUUUGGUGAUAACAAGUUUGGUAGUCUUGAUACCUACCUCAUCCCUUUUGGUGUGGUGAUCAAUUGCGUUAUGUGCUUAUUAUCAUCCUUUCGUGGUAACAAGUUUCGGUCUUUUAAUUAUACCUUCAUCCUUUUGGUGAUGGUUUAUUGUUGAUUAUUAUCAUUCCUUUGGUGGUACGAAGUUUGUGUCUUGGAUCCACCUUCAUCCUUUGGUGAUGGUGAUCAAUUGUCGUGUGUGCUAUUAUCAUCCUUUAGGUGGUAAACAGUUUUGUCUCGUUUGACAAUUACCUUCAUCCUUUUGGUGAUGGUCGAUUGUUGACUUAUUAUCAUCCUUUUUGGUGGUAACAGUUUUGUGUCUUGAUUCUUACCUCAACCUUUUGGUGACUGUGAUCAAAUUGCGGUUGUAAAUGCUUAUUAUCAUGCCUUUGGUGGUCAACAAAGUUUUGUACGUUUGACAAUACUUCAAUCCUUUUGGUGAUGGUGACUGUUUGACUUAUUAUCAUCCUUUUGGUGAUAACAAAGUUUUGUGUCUGAUCCUACCUUCAAUCCUUUUGGUGAAUGGUGAUCACAUUGCGUGUGUGCUUAUUAUCAUAUCCUUUGGGAACAAGUUUUUGUCCGUUUGGCAAUACCUACAAUACCUGUUGGUGAUGGUGAUGUCGACGUUAAUUAUCCAUCCUUUGGUGAUAACAGCUGUGGUGUCUUGGGACCUACCUUCAUCCUUUUGUUGAUGGGUGAUUCAAUUGCGUGUGUAACUUAAUAUCAAUCCUUUUUGGUGAUAACGAGUUUUGUCGUUUGACAAUACCUUAUAUUCCUUUUGAUGAGGUGAUGUUGACGUUAUUAUCAUCCACUUUUUGGUGGUAACAAAGUUUUUGUGUCUUGAUCCUACUCGAUCCUUUUGGUUGAUGGUGGGCAUUGCGUGCUGUAUUAAUCAUCCUUUGGUGGGUAACAUGUUUAUCUUUUAAUUAUGCCUUCACCUUUUGGUGAUGGUGAUUAUCACUCCUUUUGGUGAUACAAGGUUUUGUUUUGCUCAAUUACUAUCAUCCUUUGGUGCUGGUGAUCAUUGAGUUUCGACUUAUUAUCAUCGCUUUUGAGUGAUAACAAGUUUGUCUUGAUAUUACCUUCAUCCUGUUGGUGAUGGUGAUCAAUUGCGUGUGACUUAUAUCGUCCUUGGUGGCGAUAACAAGUUUGUGUCUUUAUAAUUAUACCCUUCAUCCUUUUGGUGAUGGUGAUUGGUUGACUAUUAUCAAUCCUUUUGGUGAUGAACAAGUUGUUGUGUGAUUAUACCUUCAUGCCUUUUGGUGAUGGUGAUCAUUGAAGUUAUUUGACUUCUUAAUAUCCUUUUGGUGGGAUAACAAGUUUUUGUAUUGAUCUUACUUCAAUCCUUUUGGUGACGGUGAUCUUUGAAGUUUGAUGAGUUCAACUAUCAUCCUUUUGGUGAUAGCCCUUGAUACUAUAUCUCGGUAAUAGGAAAACUUUAUCAGAAUAACCACAAAUCCUUUUAGUGACGGCACAUCAUCCUUUUGGUGAAUGAAAACCUUUAAGAUUUGGAUUUGUGUUUAACUUUCAUCCUUUUGGGAUAGCAAAAGAUUUGUUGUUGAAUCUUACCAUCAUCACUUUUGGUGAUGGUGGAUCGUUUGUGUAUCCACUGUAACCAUAAUCUUUUGGUGAUAACUACUCGUUGAAGCUCGGUUUAUCCAUCAUCCUUUUGGUGAUGACAGUCCUGGACAAUCAUGGUGAAUUCUAUCAUCUUUGGUGAUGGACCAUUAACUUGGAUGUCAUCUUUUGGUGUCAGAAAACAAUGUACAGUUUUGUCUUUACAUUAAAAAAAAAAAAAAAACUGUGACAAGAUUUGAAUGUUGACUCGAGGGUUGCACUGAUAUCUGACAUUCUACCCCUACUACCUUGGUGCUGUUAGAAUCCAGUGCAUUUUCUUUCUGCAUCCAUUCCAUUGGCAUUUCAUAAUGAUCAAUAAUUCGGCAUGCCUUUCGUAUUUAAUUAACCUUCCACCACGAAAUGUAUGAUGACCGUUGUCAUUACUAACCUUCUAGUUCAAGAUCAAUUUAAUAGGGCAGACCCCCCCUCCUGAGGUCUUCAUCCAUAUCUAUCAUCAAUUCUAACUUCUCGAAGCAAGCAGAUAAACAGUCAACUAAACAGUCAAAAUAGCAAAAUCAGACUAAGAGGUUCCCGUUGAGUACAACGGACGUAAGGGGUGCUAAUACCUUCCCCUUGCGUAAUCGACUCCCGAACCCGAAUAUGGUUGGGAUGACCAUUAUUCUUAUCUUUAAAGGUUUUCUCGAUAUUUUCAUAUUCCUUCAUUGGAAUAAAUAAAGUUCGGUGGCGACUCUGUUUCGAACAUUUUUUCCGCGUCCUAUCGCGAGGGAUUGCAUUAUCAUCAUUUUUUGAGGUGUGACAGACUGGCGACUCUGCUGGGGACCCUGCUCCAAGCAAGAGAGAGUCUAGCCUAACUUAGUCUGAUUUUGCUAUGACUGUUGGAAGAUAUUUUUUUUCCAUGUUUAUUUCUCUGUAUUUUAUUUUGAUUUCUUGUGUUGUAUGUAAUUUGUCUCGAUACUUUGAUAUGGGACUUGGUGUAUGCUGUGAGAUAAGCUCCAUACCCGAGCUUCGAGAAAAACUUAGAACCCGGAGUUGUGUAGUAUUGAACCGGGGGGUGUACACCUCAUUGGGACAAUACGAAGACUCUUUGGAGUUUCCCCAUCAACAAUAAUGGCUAACCAUCAUUGUGGGGGAGGUUUAACACGAUCUGUGACUUCUAGAGACCUCGCCUUAAACCCCAAGUUUUUGUUCAUGAUUGGUGAUUAUGUCCGAAGGGUCUACACCCUGUUCGAACAAUACGAGAAUCCCACUUAGAUUAGAUCAGUUCAGAACUCCCAUCACGAUGUGGCUAGCCCACCAUUGCGAGGAAGUUUUGAACUUGAUCCGUGAGUCUAAGUUCCUUCCUUGAAAAUAUAACUUUAGAACCUACCUUUGGGAAUUUCUAGUGAUCAAAGAAACCUUUGCUUCUUCCAGUUGUACUGAUGUACUCGACAUGUGGAUAAUUUUGAGUCUGUAUUCCUCUGUGAAAAUCAUGGCAAAACUUCAUGCAUUUGCAUAUCAUCAACAUGCAUUGCAUAUCAUCUCCCAGAAACAAAAACUCACACCAUAUUCUACCCUUUGUCCAGUAACGCUGACCACUCGACACCGGUACGAGACACGCCGCAACUACAAGAUGACACUUGAACAGUUGGAAGAAAACCAGGUUUCGAUGAGAACCGACAUUGACUCCAUGCAGGCAAAGAUGGAUCGCUUAAUGGAAACCAUGUUACUCUUAGCCCAAAAGGAAAAGGAUGCAGAGACUAGCGCUGAAGUCAGGAAAGUUGCUGCCCAGUUUGGAUCGCCAUCACUUAGCAUCCCUGGAGUAACUGACCUCGAUGGUAACCCAACCCAGCUUGGAGGAGGACCGAUCCAUAUUCCUGUUCCCAUGGUCAACAUGAACCCCCACGAGCAUUCUCCUACAUCUGCUUGCCAUGGAUCCAUGAUGGGUGAUGAAGAUCCAUACGACGCCUUCUUCAUGCCACAACCCGCCAAACCUGCUGUUGGGGGUCUCCCAGACCCAACUGUUGAUAGACUCCAUGCUUUGGAGGAAAAGUUUAAGUCCUUGGAGGUUCACACUACUCCCGGUUUGGACGUUGUUGACAUGUGCCUGGUGCCAGGAUUGGUGAUUCCACAGAAGUUCAAAGUCCCGGACUUUGAAAAAUACAAAGGGAUCAGUUGCCCGAGAACUCACCUCAGAGCCUACUGUCGCAAAAUGGCUGCCCACAUCAGUAAUGAUCAACUCCUAACUUAUUACUUCCAAGAUAGUCUCAGUGGGGCAUCCUUGGAGUGGUACAUGCAACUAGAGAGAGGUCAGGUCCAGUCGUGGAGAGACCUUGCUGAAGCAUUCCUAAGGCAUUAUCAGUACAAUACUGAUCUAGCGCCCAACCGCACCCAACUGCAAGACAUGACUCAACGCAACAACGAGUCAUUCAAGGAAUACGCCCAGCGUUGGAGAGAGCUAGCAGCUCGUGUUCAACCUCCUCUCCUUGACAAAGAGUUAAUCGACAUGUUUAUGGGAACCCUGCACACCCAAUACAUGGAAAAGAUGGUAGGAUCCAGUUUCCCAACUUUUGCUGAGGUCGUCUCCGUGGGAGAACGGAUCGAGAGCCAGAUCAAGAAAGGAAAGCUACCUUGUGCUGCUAAUGCUUCAAGUGGGAUAAAGAAGCCUUAUCCCAACCUCCCAAAGAAGCCAGAAGGGCAGACCAAUGCCAUAACGAGAGGAGGAGGAUAUAGGGCACCUCCAUAUGCUCAUACGCCUUAUCAUCAGGUUUCCACGGUCAUCCCAACGCCAUAUCAGCCUCCACACCAGCAACCAUAUCAGAAACCAUAUCAACAACAGUAUCAACAACCUUAUCAACAGCCGGCUUACCAACAACAAUAUCAGAAUCAACAGCAACGUGCUCCACAACGUCAACCUAACCAGCAAAGGGCAAGGAGGCCAGAGAGACAUUUCGAUCCUCUGCCAGUAUCAUAUAGCAAGAUCCUCCCCUACCUGCUAAAGGAUGGGUCAAUUGUGCUGAAGGAGAUAACACCUGCAACUCUACCAUAUCCUCCAGGCUACGACGCCAAUGCUCACUGUGAGUAUCACAUGGGUGCCCCAAGGCAUACAAUAGAGAAUUGUAAGGCUUUCAAGCACAAGGUUCAAGAUUUGAUUGACAGUAAAGCACUUACAUUCACGCCAGUGAGGCCAAACGUUGCAACAAACCCCAUGCCGGCGCAUGCAGAGUCGAGUGAACCUCGAAGAUAAAGCUCCCCACCGGCCUGAACAAACAAAGCAAUUCCGCCGAAGAAUCCAAAGAUGAAGGCAUGUUCAUUUGAAUGAAGGCGAUCAUUAUGCCCUUCUUUACCAUUUCACAUUCUUGUAAUUUGAUCUUGUUUGUUUAAGUAUUGUAUGCUUUGAACAUUGUUGUUUUUAUUUGGUCUUAUUAAUGGGAUAAUUAUGCAUGCUUUGAAUCAAUCUUUCAUAUUCACUCAUAUUAUCACAUUUGCAUAUCACAAACACAUACUUUUUCACCUCACUUUCUUCAUCACACUAUUGUUAGUAAAUGUUGGAAGGAGGAUGACGAAAACAAAAUACUCAUAAUUACUGAUCGUAUGCUUUCGGAUAAAAUCCUACUAAUGAUGUAUAGACAUUGUUUCAAAUCCCCAAACACUGGAGAGAUAAGGAGUUAAUCCCUAGUCAACCACUUCGAGCCUAGAAGUAGGAGUUUCUUUCGGAUCUAAAAAAACCCUUACGCUUAACCUGGGGCAGGGUAGUGUUCAGUUAAUUUGACUACACAUUUAAAUUUACAAGAUGAAAUAUCCCAUACAAGGAUCAACCAUAUGACAUUCUUCACACACAUCUUGAAGUGUCGAAGGAACCAUACAAAUCCAAAUUUUAUGUCGGUUGUUCUGUAAUGACCAAUGACUUGGCAGUCUCAAUUUCAAAAAAGGUCAGAGAAAGAGCCCGCUAAGUCCAACACCUUAAAAGGGGACUUAGGAAAAAACAGGGGCAAUCCCGAUGGAUUAAAGCUGCAGACAAAGCGGUCCAUGCAAAAGUUAGGGAUCAAAACAAAAAUCAAGAGACUAUGAAAGUCUCCAACAAAACAAAACAAGAUUCAGUGACCACCAUACCAAAAUCAAAGGGUCACCGACAUCCAAAAAAACGAAAUAAGGUGGCUGCCAUUCCAAGAAACCUUGAAUCACCAUCUUUAUCCUUACACCUGCAAAAGACGAAUGUGUGUGAAUUAACUGAACAUGGGAUUGGAGAUCAUCAUGAAGAAAGGGUGGGUUAAAAUAAACUUUGAGCCUUAUAUCCUUUUGUUUCAAUAACCAUGAACCAAGCCACGUUACAACCCUCAAAAGACCUAAUUGAAGUAGGGUUUGUUCUGAAAGCAUACUAUAGCAAGGUAUUUUGUUUCAAUAACCAUGAACCAAGCCACGUUACAACCCUCAAAAGACCUAAUUGAAGUAGGGUUUGUUCUGAAAGCAUACUAUAGCAAGGUUGAGUAAACUGACUCCUAGAGAUUUGCUAAUAUUCUCUUCUCACUAUAUCACUCACACACUAGCUAAAUCAAGCACCGCGUUUGGACACAUGGUCCACUCGUCACACAUUACCACAACACUCCAAAUGAAUGAUUGUUUUUCAAAGCUUGCAUAACUAUUGCAUUAAAAUCACCAUUUCUUGGAUAACAAUUCUUAAUUGUCAGUCAGUACUUGACAUCAAGAAAAUUCCAAGAAGGGGCAAUUCAAGAGGCACUUGAUCGUUGGUGCUGACACAAAUCAAGACCAUCCUGUGAAUCAGGGGCAUGUCAUCUUUUGAUCAUGUUGACAUAAGAAGUAGCCAGUAUAAGACAAAUCUCCAAGCAUCGGUUGAUCAGGGAGGAAAGACACUUAAAUACUCAGGCAGUCCGGGGCAGGUUCCUCAAAGGCUAAUCAGGGGCAGACCAUAGCCAGAUUUGGACAUCAGAAAACAAACUCAGACCACGUCAUGGGAUAAUCACUCCUAAAAGUUUCCUGUCAAGGAGAAUUCCUUUGAACACCCUACAGUCAGGGGCAAGACGAUUUGCAAGGGGCAGAUUUCCUUCAUAUCUUCAAGUCAGUCAAGCAGAUUGCAUCAGACCUACAGUCAGGGGCAAGACGAUUUGCAAGGGGCAGAUUUCCUUCAUAUCUUCAAGUCAGUCAAGCAGAUUGCAUCAGACACUAGUGACUGCUUGAAUUCACAAGUGUCGAAAGUUCAUACCAAUACAAUAUCAUACCUUGACAAGAAUCCUUAGGGCACGUCAGGGGCACGAUCAUCAUGCGUUGAUCACGUCGCUAUGCUCAGUUACAGGCUGGCCAGACAUCUCAAAGGAAGAGAUCGAGAUCUUCUCGAAGACAAAUACACAAUGUAUCAGCAAGAGAUCAAACUUGGGGCACCAAGAGUAUCCGCAUCUACUGCGUGUUCAUCAUAUCAUCAACUACCGAGUGUCGGGAAGUCAGAUCCUUCCACCAACCGAUGGUCCAAUCUACAUUGACAAUUACCAGAAAGACCAAAGCCCACCUCGCUGGCAUCCACAUAAAACCAAAUAGAACCAGCAUUGGUUUCACAAAAUACAUUGCUUUUGAAAAGGGAGGCCAAUCCCAAACAAACCAAUCAUCCUUUGCAUUCAAACAUGCAUCACAUGCAUCAUAUGCAUCACCUCAUUACAUAAAUGCAUACAUGAUAUUUAUCCAUAUGACACAAAUCAAAAUCCAAGUUUUAGUCGUAGGCAUCCAGGCCAGCCCUCAGUUGAGUCAUUGUUUUUCUGAGUGAGUUCCUACCCUGCUAUCGGGCGUUCCCCAUGGAGUUACAUCUUUCAACCUUUUGUUGAUAAGAUGUUAUCCUCAGCUAAGUCAAACAAUGUUUCUCCAAACACUUACCGUGUUUCGCGUUGAGCGUCCCUCAUUGAGUCGUUUCAUGUAACCUUUUGUUGAUGGAAACUACACCUCCCUAGAGAGUAUUUGUUCUGCAACCUUUUGUUGGUGGAUACCCCAAGCAAGUCUUACUCAGUAAUGUUCCAACACUACUCAGCAAAUCAGGUUAACUGAACUUUGACAGUAGCCUUAUUUUUCCAAUAUUUUUUCUCACUAUCAUCCUUUUGGUGAAAGUCCGUUGAAGAAUAAUAUUGAUCAUCGUCCUGUUUAUGAUCACCGUUAUCCUUUUGGUAAUGGUAAAUCCUUGGCAUUUGUGAACUUACUGUCAUCCUUUUGGUGUCGACGAUCCUUGAAGUUUUGGGCCUAACCUUCAUCCUUUUGGUGAAUGGCGACCUCUGCAAUUAUUACAGUCUACCGUCAUCCUUUUGGUGUCGGCGAUCCUUAUGGUGAUAAGGCCCUUGUCAUUUUGGUUCAAUCAUCAUCCUUUUGGUGAUGACGUCCAGUUUAAUCCAAUAUCAUCCUUUUGGUGAUAGAGAAUAUGGAGUUCAGUUUAAGCUAUCAUCCUUUUGGUGAUGGUGACAUUUGGAAAGUCCAACCCCACUGUCAUCCUUUUGGUGUCAGUAAUAUUUGAAGUCAUUAUAACUUAUUAUCAUCCUUUUGGUGGUAACAAGUUUCAAAGUUAUGAUCUCACCUUCAUCCUUUUGGUGAUGGUGAUUGUGGAUUCAUUAUCAUCCUUUUGGUGAUAACGAGUUCUGUUGUUUGUAGUACCUUCAUCCUUUUGGUGAUGGUGACUAUUGACUUAUUAUCAUCCUUUUGGUGAUAACAAGUUUUGUUGAUUGGUCUUACCUUCAUCCUUUUGGUGACGGUGACCAUUUGAGUUAUGGGCUCAUUAUCAUCCUUUUGGUGAUAACGAGUUUUGUUUUGAUCUUACCCUCAUCCUUUUGGUGAUGGCGAUCACUGAGUCUGUUUCAGGUUAUCAUCAUCCUUUUUGUGAUAACAAGUUUUGAAGUUCUGUCCUUAUUAUCAUCCUUUUGGUGAUAACAAGUUCGGUUUGUUUGAUCUUACUGUCAUCCUUUUGGUGUCAGUGAUAUUUAAGGUUGUUGACUUAUUAUCAUCCUUUUGGUGAUAACAAGUUUGUGUCUUGAUCCUACCUUCAUCCUUUUGGUGAUGGUGAUCAAUUGCGUUAUGUGCUUAUUAUCAUCCUUUCGGUGGUAACAAGUUUCGUCUUUUAAUUAUACCUUCAUCCUUUUGGUGAUGGUUAUUGUUGACUUAUUAUCAUCCUUUUGGUGGUAACAAGUUUGUGUCUUGAUCCUACCUUCAUCCUUUUGGUGAUGGUGAUCAAUUGCGUGUGUGCUUAUUAUCAUCCUUUAGGUGGUAACAAGUUUUGUCGUUUGACAAUACCUUCAUCCUUUUGGUGAUGGUGAUUGUUGACUUAUUAUCAUCCUUUUGGUGGUAACAAGUUUGUGUCUUGAUCUUACCUUCAUCCUUUUGGUGAUGGUGAUCAAUUGCGUUGUAUGCUUAUUAUCAUCCUUUUGGUGGUAACAAGUUUUGUCGUUUGACAAUACCUUCAUCCUUUUGGUGAUGGUGACUGUUGACUUAUUAUCAUCCUUUUGGUGAUAACAAGUUUGUGUCUUGAUCCUACCUUCAUCCUUUUGGUGAUGGUGAUCAAUUGCGUGUGUGCUUAUUAUCAUCCUUUUGGUGGUAACAAGUUUUGUCGUUUGGCAAUACCUUCAUCCUUUUGGUGAUGGUGAUUGUCGACUUAUUAUCAUCCUUUUGGUGAUAACAAGUUGGUGUCUUGAUCCUACCUUCAUCCUUUUGGUGAUGGUGAUCAAUUGCGUGUGUACUUAUUAUCAUCCUUUUGGUGAUAACGAGUUUUGUCGUUUGACAAUACCUUUAUCCUUUUGGUGAUGGUGAUUGUUGACUUAUUAUCAUCCUUUUGGUGGUAACAAGUUUGUGUCUUGAUCCUACCUUCAUCCUUUUGGUGAUGGUGAGCAAUUGCGUGCGUGCUUAUUAUCAUCCUUUUGGUGGUAACAUGUUUUAUCUUUUAAUUAUGCCUUCAUCCUUUUGGUGAUGGUGAUUAUCAUCCUUUUGGUGAUAACAAGGUUUUGUUUUGAUCUUACUAUCAUCCUUUUGGUGAUGGUGAUCAUUGAGUUUCGACUUAUUAUCAUCCUUUUGGUGAUAACAAGUUUGUCUUGAUAUUACCUUCAUCCUUUUGGUGAUGGUGAUCAAUUGCGUGUGACUUAUUAUCGUCCUUUUGGCGAUAACAAGUUGUGUCUUUUAAUUAUACCUUCAUCCUUUUGGUGAUGGUGAUUGUUGACUUAUUAUCAUCCUUUUGGUGAUAACAAGUUUGUUGUGUGAUUAUACCUUCAUCCUUUUGGUGAUGGUGAUCAUUGAAGUUAUUUGACUUCUUAUCAUCCUUUUGGUGAUAACAAGUUUUGUAUUGAUCUUACCUUCAUCCUUUUGGUGACGGUGAUCUUUGAAGUUGAUGAGUCAACUAUCAUCCUUUUGGUGAUAGCCUUGAUACUAUACUCUCGGUAAUAGGAAACUUUAUCAGAAUAACCAUCAUCCUUUUAGUGACGGACAUCAUCCUUUUGGUGAUGAAAACCUUUAGAUUUGGAUUGUGUUUAACUUUCAUCCUUUUGGUGAUAGCAAGAUUUGUUGUUGAUCUUACCAUCAUCCUUUUGGUGAUGGUGAUCUUUGUUGUAUCCACUGUAACCAUCAUCCUUUUGGUGAUAACUACUGUUGAAGCUCGGUUUAUCCAUCAUCCUUUUGGUGAUGACAGUCCUGACAAUCAUGGUGAAUUCUAUCAUCCUUUUGGUGAUGACCAUUAACUUGGAUUGUCAUCCUUUUGGUGUCAGAAAACAUGUACAGUUUUGUCUUUACAUUAAAAAAAAAAAAAAAAAACUGUGCAAGAUUUGAAUGUUGACUCGAGGGUUGGCACUGAUCUGACAUUCUACCCCUACUACCUUGGUGCUGUUAGAAUCCAUUGCAUUUUCUUUCUGCAUCCAUUCCAUUGCAUUUCAAAUGACAAAAUUCGGAUCCUUUCGUAUUUAAUUACCUUCCACCACGAAUGUAUGAUGACCGUUGUCAUUCCUACCUUCUAGUUCAAGAUAAUUAAAUAGGGGCAGCCGUCGUACCCCAAUUUUGUCCGGGCAUAUUUAAAUUUUUUCAUACAAUCGAUCUCAUUUUAUUUUUUUUCAUCACAUACAUACCAUUACAUACAUUUUCAUCAUGAAUAAAUGCCUAAAAUGUCAGUCGAAAUGAAUUUAUUGGAGAAUACAGACAAAAUCAGUUGAAUCGUUAAAAUUUGAGGAAAACAGUGUAUUUUUCAAAUAAUAUGUUUUGUGCUGAUAAACAUCAUGAAUAAAUGCCUAAAAUGUCAGUCGAAAUGAAUUUAUUGGAGAAUACAGACAAAAUCAGUUGAAUCGUUAAAAUUUGAGGAAAACAGUGUAUUUUUCAAAUAAUAUGUUUUGUGCUGAUAAUUUUGGUGUGAUUGAUUUAAUUUUCCGAAUAAAUUUGUACUCGAUUUUUGUUUUAAUGGGUCAAUAUUUUUGAAGAAAUUAGAAUGAUAUUUAAUUAAAUAUUAGUUAGAUUUUUUAAAAUAUUAGUUAGUUUUUUUAGAUAUUAAUUAGAAUCAAAUAUUAAUUAGAUUUUUCUUUGUUGAUUUUAUUUUUCUUAAAUAAAUAAUAAGUAUAAAAUAAAUAAAUAGUAAAUUAUAGCAUUGGAUUCUUGUGAGGAAAUGCCAGCUUGCAUAUUUUCUUCACCCUUCACACGUGUCCCUCCGCUCACAAUCUCUCAAGACUCUUCUCUCCACUAUUUCUCCCACUCCCUCAUUUUCGUCCCUCACAGACACUCACACUCCACUCCCCAACGUCUCUCUCCACUGCUAACAACCUCACGCUCUCUCUCUCUAAAAGACCCUCACCUUCCACUCAUUUUUACGGACAACCCACAAACCCUUCUUUCACUCUCUCUCACGCAAAAGAGAAAACAGAAAGAGAAGGCGGAAGAGAAGAAGAAAAACCCUUCUUGUUCUCCAACCCCGCCGCAAACCUCCGAACCCUUUCUCCUCUCACUGACCAAAAACCCAUCACAACCUCCGUCUCCACUACCUUCAAAACACAAGCUCAGCCGCCGUCAACCUCCACUGCCGCCGCGGAUUCACCACCGCGAAACCAUCGACCACCCAAAACCCACCGUAAACCUUCAAAAUCCCAAUCGUCAAACCCUUCUUCAUCACAACACAUUCACCGCCGCCACUACCUUAAACCUCCAAAUCCACCAAACCCUAAACCAUCGCUCACCCCCAAUCGCCGCUCACUUUGAAUCUCCGCCGUUUACCACCAACACCACAACCAACAAAUACCCUCCUUCAACACAAACCCUCACACCAUCAUCGAAACCCUCACUCAACAACCGUUUCAACCAUGGCACCACCCAGCUCGGAACGGCAAAACGCGUCCCCAAGGUAGACGUUCCGCCGGAACAGGUGCAGUCAAAAAGCGACGGCUUGGAUCUAUACCAACAAUAUCUUGAAUAGGAUAGUGGAUCUGUCGAAGAUCUUACGGCGCUCACAAGAUACCUUUCUGUUCUAAUGGAAAUCCCGCGACAACCAUGAACUCAGAGCAGCAAACAGAACAUGACAAUUUGAUCAUUUUGGUAGUAUUUCGGUUAAAGCGUCGGAUUUAAGUUUAUGUUGUUUCUAAUGAGUUUACAUUCAGUUUUCAGAUAAGCGAUAUACUUUAAAUUUGCUGCUUUUACCUUCUGUAUGACUACAGUCUUCACGUUUGAAAAUUAAUUAUGGUGACUCAUGGAUGUUUCGAUAGGGUUUCCAGCUUGGUUUGUUUGUGUUGUUUAAAUUGAGGAUACGAAUGAGUUAGUUUAUGGACUGAGAACCUGUAGAUAAUGAACGACUGUGAUCUUGUUUUGAUUAUAGCAUUUGUUUCUUUCCUAUAAGUGUUUGUAUUAAAAUGUGAUUAGAUUACCGCUUGAAGCUUGUUUAGACAUUACAAGUGUGUUAUAUUGACUGUUAGAUGUAUUAGUUUUGUGGGAAGAUUUUUUGUGAAAUUAAAGUUUAUUUUCCCAUCAGUGUUAUCAAUAGAACAAAUGGAUAUUGGUUGAAAUGCUGAACAGUUCGUUUCUUUAUUCUGUACUAGCUGAAUUUGGUUUUGCAUUAGCUGCACCUUUUGAGGUCUCCUUGGACAUGAUUUAUUUCUAUUCUAUUCUAAUAAGAAGUCAAGUAGAU
RNAcentral lists this long non-coding RNA (29018 nucleotides) under Lathyrus oleraceus (garden pea). Its description in RNAcentral is "Pisum sativum (pea) long non-coding RNA (PSAT_LNC010960)". The record is from RNAcentral. Lineage: Eukaryota; Viridiplantae; Streptophyta; Magnoliopsida; Fabales; Fabaceae.